GUGCCAGCCGCAGCGGUAAUACGUAGGGUGCGAGCGUUGUCCGGAAUUAUUGGGCGUAAAGAGCUCGUAGGCGGCCUGUCGCGUCGGAUGUGAAAGCCCGGGGCUUAACCCCGGGUCUGCAUUCGAUACGGGCAGGCUAGAGUUCGGCAGGGGAGAUUGGAAUUCCUGGUGUAGCGGUGAAAUGCGCAGAUAUCAGGAGGAACACCGGUGGCGAAGGCGGAUCUCUGGGCCGAUACUGACGCUGAGGAGCGAAAGCGUGGGAGCGAAC
RNAcentral lists this ribosomal RNA (268 nucleotides) under uncultured Streptomyces sp. RNAcentral's name for it is "partial 16S ribosomal RNA". It matches the Rfam family "Bacterial small subunit ribosomal RNA", at positions 505 to 773 of the family's 1533-position model. The record is from RNAcentral. Lineage: Bacteria; Bacillati; Actinomycetota; Actinomycetes; Kitasatosporales; Streptomycetaceae.